RNAcentral lists this ribosomal RNA (467 nucleotides) under uncultured bacterium. RNAcentral's name for it is "partial 16S ribosomal RNA". It matches the Rfam family "Bacterial small subunit ribosomal RNA", at positions 28 to 507 of the family's 1533-position model. The record is from RNAcentral.
GACGAACGCUGGCGGCGUGCUUAACACAUGCAAGUCGAACGGAAAGGCCCGCUUUUGUGGGGUGCUCGAGUGGCGAACGGGUGAGUAACACGUGAGUAACCUGCCCUUGACUUUGGGAUAACUUCAGGAAACUGGGGCUAAUACCGGAUAGGAGCUCCUGCUGCAUGGUGGGGGUUGGAAAGUUUCGGCGGUUGGGGAUGGACUCGCGGCUUAUCAGCUUGUUGGUGGGGUAGUGGCUUACCAAGGCUUUGACGGGUAGCCGGCCUGAGAGGGUGGCCGGCCACAUUGGGACUGAGAUACGGCCCAGACUCCUACGGGAGGCAGCAGUGGGGAAUAUUGCACAAUGGGCGGAAGCCUGAUGCAGCAACGCCGCGUGCGGGAUGACGGCCUUCGGGUUGUAAACCGCUUUCGCCUGUGACGAAGCGUGAGUGACGGUAAUGGGUAAAGAAGCACCGGCUAACUACGUG